This 369-nucleotide ribosomal RNA is filed under the name uncultured bacterium. Its description in RNAcentral is "bacterial SSU rRNA". It matches the Rfam family "Bacterial small subunit ribosomal RNA", at positions 525 to 896 of the family's 1533-position model. The record is from RNAcentral.
ACGAAGGAUGCAAGCGUUAUCCGGAUUUAUUGGGUUUAAAGGGUGCGUAGGCGGACUUAUAAGUCAGUGGUGAAAUCUCGUUGCUUAACAACGAACGUGCCAUUGAUACUGUAGGUCUUGAGUACAGAUGCCGUUGGCGGAAUGUGUCAUGUAGCGGUGAAAUGCAUAGAUAUGACACAGAACACCGAUUGCGAAGGCAGCUGACGAAACUGUAACUGACGCUGAGGCACGAAAGCGUGGGGAUCAAACAGGAUUAGAUACCCUGGUAGUCCACGCCCUAAACUAUGAUUACUAGCUGUCGGCGAUAAACAGCCGGUAGCCAAGCGAAAGCGAUAAGUAAUCCACCUGGGGAGUACGCUCGCAAGGGUG